Small nuclear RNA from Mastomys coucha (southern multimammate mouse), 109 nucleotides. NCBI's taxonomy places the organism in Eukaryota, Metazoa, Chordata, Mammalia, Rodentia, Muridae. The record is from RefSeq and is a predicted model, not a curated record.
GGGCUCACUUCGGCACCACAUAUACUAAAAUUGGAACGAAGAUUAGAGAAGAUUAGCAUAGACCCUGCACAAGGAUGACACGCAAAUUCGUGAAGCGUUCCAUAUUUAA